UUGACAGCUUUGGAAACUGAAGGGCUCUAAUUAUCCACAAAACAGGUACAAUAUGGCCAGUGGUAAUAGAAAUCAUUUCAUACUCCCUGCUGGUGUGCCCCAGAUAGGUUUCUUAGGAACCUCAUGGGAUAUAAAGGUUUUAAGACUCCUUCCUGUUCAGUCUUUGCUAAGA
Ursus americanus (American black bear) is the source of this 172-nucleotide unclassified non-coding RNA. The record is from Ensembl. Lineage: Eukaryota; Metazoa; Chordata; Mammalia; Carnivora; Ursidae.